CCAGACUCCUACGGGAGGCAGCAGCUAAGAAUAUUCCGCAAUGGACGGAAGUCUGACGGAGCGACGCCGCGUGGAUGAAGAAGGCUGAAAAGUUGUAAAAUCCUUUUGUUGAUGAAGAAUAAGGGGAAGAGGGAAUGCUUCUCUGAUGACGGUAAUCGACGAAUAAGCCCCGGCUAAUUACGUGCCAGCAGCCGCGGUAACACGUAAGGGGCGAGCGUUGUUCGGAAUUAUUGGGCGUAAAGGGCAUGUAGGCGGCUAUGUAAGCCUGAUGUGAAAUCCUGGGGCUUAACCCUAGAAUAGCAUUGGGUACUGUAUAGCUUGAAUUACGGAAGGGAAACUGGAAUUCCAAGUGUAGGGGUGGAAUCUGUAGAUAUUUGGAAGAACACCGGUGGCGAAGGCGGGUUUCUGGCCGAUAAUUGACGCUGAGAUGCGAAAGUGUGGGGAUCGAACAGGAUUAGAUACCCUGGUAGUCCACACUGUAAACGAUGUACACUAGGUGUUGGGGCAAGAGCUUCAGUGCCAAAGCAAACGCGAUAAGUGUACCGCCUGGGGAGUAUGCCCGCAAGGGUGAAACUCAAAGGAAUUGACGGGGCCCGCACAG
This 601-nucleotide ribosomal RNA is filed under the name uncultured bacterium. RNAcentral's name for it is "bacterial SSU rRNA". It matches the Rfam family "Bacterial small subunit ribosomal RNA", at positions 331 to 928 of the family's 1533-position model. The record is from RNAcentral.